UUGGAAGUCAUGCACGGAGCCGAGUCUUCAACGCGUUUUGUUGUCCCCUAGUCUCUCGGACAGGAUCAACAACGCGAGCUAUGAAGAUAUCCUGAAAAUCGACGCUUAUCUGAGAUGAGCCUCCCGUCUUUCAAGCCGAUUAGAUACACGUUAGUUGAUGGAAAGAGAAACUCCACGAAGGCCUGAGUUUACUGCUGGACAAGAUGACAUUUGACGUGAUUCGAUUCACGAAUAUAUUAUUCUUCCUUCUUUGGAGCUCCAGUAUAAUAAGAUGUUACAAUGUUCCUUGCACGUUUAACACUAUGUGCAUGUGUUGGGUUCAGGAUGACGAUGAUGAUUUUACGAAGAUGGAUAUUAGUUGUAUGGGAGUUCCAUUCGCACGAUUUCCUGAUGUAUCCGUGAGUUAUGUCGCGCAAUUAGAUAUUGUCGGAUCAGGAAUACAAGUUUUGGACAAUGACGCGCUUGCGAGUUCCGCAGGUGUCGAAGCUCUAGGACUGGUGAGCAAUCGAUUAUCCAGCAUAGGUGACAAGUCUCUGCUAGGUGUUACGGACAGCCUACGUUCACUGGAUUUGAGCUACAACUCUCUUGAGGAUGUGCCUUUCAAGGUUUUUCGCGAUCUGAAAAAAUUAAAUUGGCUAAAUAUGCACAGUAAUCACUUAACAUCAUUGGAUGGCGACUGGGGCCGUACCAAAGAAACUCUGACAAACGCAUUCUUCGGUGAUAAUUCAAUCACUGAAGUGCCCAGAAUUUUUUCGAGUUUCGCCAAUCUGGUGUGGUUAAAUGUAGACAGCAACAAUAUUGAGGAGCUCUAUAAAGAUUCCUUGCCACCAAACAUGCACACCCUGAGCAUCAAUAAUAACCUCUUGAAAGAAUUUCCACAAGCUUUAGGAAAGCUGAAAGAAUUAAAUUGGCUCUAUAUGAGAGGAAAUGAUCUCAAGUAUCUGGAACUGCCCGAUUUUCGCAGUUCCAAUUUAGAGCUCAUUGACGUGAGCGAGAACUCUAUUGAAUGGAUAAAGACACCCAUUCUAAGCAACCACACUGUAAAGAUCAGAGACUUUAAUCUAGACGGAAACAAACUGAUCUCGUUGCCAGGCAGAAUGUUCGACCGUCUUGAGACCAGAAGAAUUCACCUGUCAUCGAACAGUAUCAGAAACGUUGAUAAGGAAGCGUUUCGCGGUUUGGAAGACAGUCUGGAAUAUUUGAACCUGGAGAACAACGACCUGCCGACGGUACCAGUUGCUAUUAGCCAAUUGAGAAUGUUGUCGUACCUCUAUUUGGCCAACAAUGAGAUUAGAAAUAUUUCCGGUGAGGCCUUUCAGGAAUUCGCGGAGCAUCUAAAGGCCCUCUCUCUUGCAACCAACAGUUUGGAUGCAGUGCCUGUAGCGGCUCUAUCUAGAUGCCAGAGGCUAUUGCACCUGAAUCUUGGUUACAACAAGAUCUCCCAUGUCGAGCCAGGUGAUUUCGAGUGGGCCGACGACCUUGAGAUCUUAUUGCUCAGGAACAAUAUCCUGACGAAACUGAAAGCUGAAACUUUCAAAGGAGCCGGUAAACUGAAAGAGCUUAGCUUGUCCUUCAAUCACUUGACGGAACUCGACGACGACUGCUUCGUUGGUCUCGAGGAGAGCCUAGACAUUCUCGAGUUGAGCUUCGCCUUCGCUACAGACGUCUUCCCUCAGCGUGCACUCAGGCCACUCUUGAAUCUCCGAUGGCUGGUUUUAGAUAACAACAAUUUCCAGACAAUCGAGGCGACAGCCUUUUACUCCUUUCAACAACUGCGCUACAUUAACAUGGAGUCGAACAGACUCCACUACUUGCCCGAAAGAAUAUUCCUCUCAAGCGUGCAUCCAGAGUUAAGAGACGUCAAACUCGGAUACAAUUUUCUGGAGGCAAUACCGGAGUCCAGUUUUCAUAAUCUGACCGAGCUGCUGUCUCUGGACCUAACCGGAAAUCGAAUAAAAGUCUUGGCGUCCGAUUCCAUCGUAGAUUGUCCAAAGCUGGUGACCAUAUCGUUGGCUUACAAUCGGAUACACAAGAUGGAGAGAAACGCGCUGUACGGUUUGGCCAGCUUGCGCUUCCUUCAUUUGGAAUUCAAUAAACUGACUAUGCUGGACUUGGGCGCUAUCUCGGAGAUCGGUGGCUCUGACUUUGCCUUAAACGUCUCCUACAAUGCGAUCGCGUUCGUCGACUCGGGAUCUACAAUGAAUAAUCUUACCAGAUUGGAUCUUGGAUUCAAUAAUAUCAGCCACUUAUUGGCGGACACGUUUUAUGGAACGCCCGAUUUGAAAAAUUUAUAUUUGCAGAAUAACUUUCUCUCAACGAUCGAUCCUGGAACAUUUGCAUUUCCUCAUUUGGAAACUCUGGACCUAAGUAACAACAAGAUAGAAACGUUGCGCAAGCAGUCCUUCCACGGUUUGGAAUCCCUUCAGUGGCUGAACCUCGGCGGAAACGAAAUAACGCAAUUGUCGACAGAGCAGUUCAGGAAUCUGAAAAGCCUGAGAAUUCUGAUUCUCUCGAACAAUAAGAUUCGUUCGUUACCGAAAGAUGUUUUCGAGGGUACCAAAUUGGAAAUUCUAGAUCUUAGUCACAACAAAUUUACCGUGGUACCCUCAUCGUCGUUCUUGGAAGUCGGCUAUACUCUUAGAGACCUCAACAUGGCGGAGAAUUUUCUGGAUCACCUUGACUCGACUGCUUUCCCGACUUCUCAGCUAGUAUCUCUGAACCUGGCGCAAAAUCGUCUGACUAUUCUGCCAGAUAACUCCUUCGUUUCCUUGGGGAAAUUACUGAGCCUGAACGUAUCUCAGAAUGUUCUUCAAGCAAACUUUAAAGAGCUGUUCCAUUACUUACCGGAUCUCAGACAUCUUUAUCUGGCCAAUUGCGGCCUUAGAAGUGUACCGUUGUUGCCAUUGACGAAUUUAAAUAUCUUGGAUUUAUCUUUUAACAAUGUUGACGAGACUACUGACAAGCAAUUUCAGUACCUAGAAGGUUUGAAAAUUCUCCUACUGGUAAAUAACUCGUUGACUUCGAUGCCUAGUGUCAAAUUGAGUCUCUUGAGAGAGCUCGAUGUUUCUGGCAACCCUAUCGAGGAAUUGACGAAAGAAAGCUUCCUGGGAUAUCCGAGAUUAGAGAAAUUAAACUUAAGAAACCUAAAUCGGACCAGAUCAGUGGACAAGGAUUGUCUGCAAUCUUUGAAAUAUUUAAAACACCUGCGAAUCCAAACUUGGCCGCAAGCCGACGGGUUUCAUCUGCGUCAUUUGCUGUUCGGCUUACCGCUUCGAACGGUCGAGAUUCAAGUGACGGAGCACUUGCUGAAGCAUCAGAUACAAAAUGUCUUUACGAAACAUUUGAGAGAAUUGACGAUCACUGGGAGCGAUCUUGAAUGGAUCUCUUCCGAGGCGUUCUCCACUAUCGAGGGCGGAGAAUUGAUACUGAGAAUCAAAGACACGCACGUUCAACGACUACAAUCGGAUAUUUUUCUAUCGUUGACGAAGAGAUUGUCGCAGCUUACUUUGGACCUAAGGAACAAUCAUAUCAACGAAUUAAGCCCGUCGAUAAUUUACGGGAAUCUUUCCUGGGAGACUGUGGGGACCAACAUGGUGGCUGGUGGGCUGCAAGUGUCGGGCAAUCCGCUCGAAUGCGACUGCGAGAUUGCAUGGCUGAGUCUAUGGCUGCGCAGGUGGCUCAGAGAGUCCCGACAGAUUCACACGGCGUCGCAAUCCGACGCCAGGCAACUCAGGACUAUAGCCGGCCGAGCUGUAUGCACGGAAACAACUCCAUCUUACUCUUCCGACAAGGUCUUGCUGACUCUGGGUACACCGCACACCGCUUGUCAAGCGUCGGCCCUCAGCUCGGGAAAUUACGAGCGGCUGGCGACAGCCUGGUUGGCCUUCGUCAAGUUCUUUAUCCUCGUAUUCAUCGCCAAUUAACUGCCAGUUCAUAGCACGACAAGUUUCCCUGGGCCUAGUCUUCGAAAUUCACAACGUGAUCUUUUUUAAUAUGGCGAGGAUAAAAAUACACGAGAAUGGAAAAAUUCUUAAAAAAAGUAAGAAUAAAGAUGUAUAGACAGUAAGGUACUUGUGGGGAAUAUAGAAUGGGAGAAACAAUUCUAUAAUAAAACUUGUCGACGCAAUGAUAAUAUAUACUAUUGCUUGCGAA
Monomorium pharaonis (pharaoh ant) is the source of this 4152-nucleotide RNA transcript. It is a transcript of the gene named chaoptin, with no coding region annotated. The record is from RefSeq and is a predicted model, not a curated record. The transcript has 11 exons. NCBI's taxonomy places the organism in Eukaryota, Metazoa, Arthropoda, Insecta, Hymenoptera, Formicidae.